This 63-nucleotide transfer RNA is filed under the name Coprobacter fastidiosus. It matches the Rfam family "tRNA", at positions 6 to 65 of the family's 71-position model. Rfam says of the family: Transfer RNA (tRNA) molecules are approximately 80 nucleotides in length. Their secondary structure includes four short double-helical elements and three loops (D, anti-codon, and T loops). The record is from RNAcentral. Lineage: Bacteria; Pseudomonadati; Bacteroidota; Bacteroidia; Bacteroidales; Barnesiellaceae. RNAcentral also lists the same sequence under 5 other names.
AGUAGCUCAGUCGGUUAGAGCAUCUGACUGUUAAUCAGAGGGUCGUAGGUUCAAGUCCUACCU